AACGCACCUUGCGCCCUUUGGCUAUUCCGAAGGGCAUGCCUGUUUGAGUAUCGUGAACACCUCAACUCUCAUGGUCCGCCAUGAUGAGCUUGGACUUUGGGGGUAUUGCUGGCCUAACCGUCGGCUCCUCUCAAACGAAUCAGCUUGCCAGUGUUUGGUGGCGUCAUGGGUGUGAUAACUAUCUACGCUCGUGGUCUUCCACCAAGUAACCUUCAGUGAUGGAGGUUCGCUGGAGCUCACAGACGUCUCUCCUCAGGGAAGACAGCUUUUUGAACGUUUGAUCUCAAAUCAGGUAGGACUACCCGCUGAACUUAA
Molecule: unclassified non-coding RNA, 315 nt
Filed under: uncultured Thelephoraceae
Lineage: Eukaryota; Fungi; Basidiomycota; Agaricomycetes; Thelephorales; Thelephoraceae
Description: sequence contains ITS2
Source: RNAcentral